GAUGAACGCUGGCGGCGUGCCUAAUACAUGCAAGUCGAGCGAACAGACGAGGAGCUUGCUCCUCUGACGUUAGCGGCGGACGGGUGAGUAACACGUGGAUAACCUACCUAUAAGACUGGGAUAACUUCGGGAAACCGGAGCUAAUACCGGAUAAUAUAUUGAACCGCAUGGUUCAAUAGUGAAAGACGGUUUUGCUGUCACUUAUAGAUGGAUCCGCGCCGCAUUAGCUAGUUGGUAAGGUAACGGCUUACCAAGGCAACGAUGCGUAGCCGACCUGAGAGGGUGAUCGGCCACACUGGAACUGAGACCCGGUCCAGACUCCUACGGGAGGCAGCAGUAGGGAAUCUUCCGCAAUGGGCGAAAGCUUGACGGAGCAACGCCGCGUGAGUGAUGAAGGUCUUCGGAUCGUAAAACUCUGUUAUUAGGGAAGAACAAAUGUGUAAGUAACUAUGCACGUCUUGACGGUACCUAAUCAGAAAGCCACGGCUAACUACGU
Molecule: ribosomal RNA, 496 nt
Filed under: uncultured bacterium
Lineage: Bacteria
Description: partial 16S ribosomal RNA
Rfam family: Bacterial small subunit ribosomal RNA
Source: RNAcentral